This 558-nucleotide ribosomal RNA is filed under the name Polauchenia schubarti. Its description in RNAcentral is "partial large subunit ribosomal RNA". It matches the Rfam family "Eukaryotic large subunit ribosomal RNA", at positions 703 to 1137 of the family's 3401-position model. The record is from RNAcentral. Lineage: Eukaryota; Metazoa; Arthropoda; Insecta; Hemiptera; Reduviidae.
AAAACCCAAAGGCGUAAUGAAAGUAAAUAGUGGAAUAUUUAUAUUAUAUGAGUUUUAUAAUUCUUUAAUAUAGAUUUCCCUAUAGGGAAGAUGGAAACCUUGUCAUUAAUUAAUACGGUGGUGGUUUACUAUCAUUUGUAUUAUUUUUGAUUAAUGGUUUCUCGCACUCCCGGGGCGCUUAUUUCUUGCUUUGCAAGUUAUUGCGCACCUAGAGCGUACACGCUGAUACCCGAAAGAUGGUGAACUAUGCCUGGCCAGGACGAAGCCAGGGGAAACCCUGGUGGAGGUCCGCAGCGAUUCUGACGUGCAAAUCGAUCGUCGGAGCUGGGUAUAGGGGCGAAAGACCAAUCGAACCAUCUAGUAGCUGGUUCCCUCUGAAGUUUCCCUCAGGAUAGCUUGCGCUCGGUUGAGAAGAGUCUCAUCCGGUAGAGCGAAUGAUUAGAGGCAUUGGGGUCGAAACGACCUCAACCUAUUCUCAAACUCCAAAUAGAUGAGAUCCCCGGCUUUCUUAAAAAUGAAGCCGUGGGAAUAGGAUCAGAGUGCCAAGUGGGCCAAUUU